Molecule: ribosomal RNA, 407 nt
Filed under: uncultured bacterium
Lineage: Bacteria
Description: bacterial SSU rRNA
Rfam family: Bacterial small subunit ribosomal RNA
Source: RNAcentral
AGCCCUUGACAUGGACGUCGCGACUUCAGAGAUGAAGUUUUCGGUUCGGCCGGACGUUACACAGGUGCUGCAUGGCUGUCGUCAGCUCGUGUCGUGAGAUGUUGGGUUAAGUCCCGCAACGAGCGCAACCCUCAUCCUUAGUUGCCAUCAGUUCGGCUGGGCACUCUAGGGAAACUGCCGGUGAUAAGCCGGAGGAAGGUGGGGAUGACGUCAAGUCCUCAUGGCCCUUAUGGGCUGGGCUACACACGUGCUACAAUGGCGACUACAGUGGGCAGCGACAUCGCGAGGUGAAGCUAAUCUCCAAAAGUCGUCUCAGUUCGGAUUGCACUCUGCAACUCGGGUGCAUGAAGUUGGAAUCGCUAGUAAUCGCGGAACAGCAUGCCGCGGUGAAUACGUUACGCGGGCCU